GAUGAACGCUGGCGGCGUGCUUAACACAUGCAAGUCGAACGGGAAACCUUUUAUUGAAGCUUCGGCAGAUUUAGCUGGUUUCUAGUGGCGGACGGGUGAGUAACGCGUGGGUAACCUGCCUUAUACAGGGGGAUAACAGUCAGAAAUGACUGCUAAUACCGCAUAAGCGCACAGGGCCGCAUGGCCCGGUGUGAAAAACUCCGGUGGUAUAAGAUGGACCCGCGUUGGAUUAGCUGGUUGGUGGGGUAACGGCCCACCAAGGCGACGAUCCAUAGCCGGCCUGAGAGGGUGAACGGCCACAUUGGGACUGAGACACGGCCCAGACUCCUACGGGAGGCAGCAGUGGGGAAUAUUGCACAAUGGGGGGAACCCUGAUGCAGCGACGCCGCGUGAAGGAAGAAGUAUCUCGGUAUGUAAACUUCUUUUAAGGGGGAACAGUAGAAGAGGGUACCCCUUGAAUAAGCCAACGGCUAACUACGUG
Molecule: ribosomal RNA, 481 nt
Filed under: uncultured bacterium
Lineage: Bacteria
Description: bacterial SSU rRNA
Rfam family: Bacterial small subunit ribosomal RNA
Source: RNAcentral